UACGUAGGGUGCAAGCGUUAAUCGGAAUUACUGGGCGUAAAGCGUGCGCAGGCGGUUUUGUAAGUCUGUCGUGAAAGCCCCGGGCUCAACCUGGGAAUUGCGAUGGAGACUGCAAGGCUUGAAUCUGGCAGAGGGGGGUAGAAUUCCACGUGUAGCAGUGAAAUGCGUAGAGAUGUGGAGGAACACCGAUGGCGAAGGCAGCCCCCUGGGAUAACACUGACGCUCAUGCACGAAAGCGUGGGGAGCAAACAGG
This 253-nucleotide ribosomal RNA is filed under the name uncultured bacterium. RNAcentral's name for it is "partial 16S ribosomal RNA". It matches the Rfam family "Bacterial small subunit ribosomal RNA", at positions 524 to 776 of the family's 1533-position model. The record is from RNAcentral.